This 252-nucleotide ribosomal RNA is filed under the name uncultured bacterium. Its description in RNAcentral is "partial 16S ribosomal RNA". It matches the Rfam family "Bacterial small subunit ribosomal RNA", at positions 525 to 776 of the family's 1533-position model. The record is from RNAcentral.
ACGUAGGGUGCAAGCGUUAAUCGGAAUUACUGGGCGUAAAGCGUGCGCAGGCGGUUUUGUAAGUCUGAUGUGAAAUCCCCGGGCUCAACCUGGGAAUUGCAUUGGAGACUGCAAGGCUAGAAUCUGGCAGAGGGGGGUAGAAUUCCACGUGUAGCAGUGAAAUGCGUAGAUAUGUGGAGGAACACCGAUGGCGAAGGCAGCCCCCUGGGUCAAGAUUGACGCUCAUGCACGAAAGCGUGGGGAGCAAACAGG